AGGGUUCGAUUAUGGCUCAGAUUGAACGCUGGCGGUAUGCUUAACACAUGCAAGUCGAACGGAAACGAUACUAGCUUGCUAGUAGGCGUCGAGUGGCGGACGGGUGAGUAACGCGUAGGAAUCUGCCUGAUAGUGGGGGAUAGCCCGGAGAAAUUCGGAUUAAUACCGCAUAAUCUAUUCGUAGUAAAGUGGGGGACUUUCGAGCCUCACGCUAUCAGAUGAGCCUGCGUAAGAUUAGCUCGUUGGUAGGGUAAAAGCCUACCAAGGCGACGAUCUUUAGCUGGUCUGAGAGGAUGAUCAGCCACAUCGGGACUGAGACACGGCCCGAACUCCUACGGGAGGCAGCAGUGGGGAAUAUUGGACAAUGGGGGCAACCCUGAUCCAGCAAUACCGCGUGUGUGAAGAAGGCCUGAGGGUUGUAAAGCACUUUCAAUUGUGAAGAAAAGUUAACGGUUAAUAACCGUUAGCCUUGACGUUAACUUUAGAAGAAGCACCGGCUAACUCCGUGCCAGCCGCCGCGGUAAUUCA
RNAcentral lists this ribosomal RNA (528 nucleotides) under uncultured bacterium. RNAcentral's name for it is "bacterial SSU rRNA". It matches the Rfam family "Bacterial small subunit ribosomal RNA", at positions 8 to 527 of the family's 1533-position model. The record is from RNAcentral.